AGUGAACGCUGGCGGCAGGCCUAACACAUGCAAGUCGAGCGGCAGCGCGUCCGACCACCCUCGGGUGGUCGGAUGGCGGCGAGCGGCGGACGGGUGAGGAAUGCAUCGGAAUCUGCCUCGUUGUGGGGGAUAACGUAGGGAAACUUACGCUAAUACCGCAUACGACCUACGGGUGAAAGUGGGGGACCUUCGGGCCUCACGCGAUGAGAUGAGCCGAUGCCGGAUUAGCUAGUUGGCGGGGUAAAGGCCCACCAAGGCGACGAUCCGUAGCUGGUCUGAGAGGAUGAUCAGCCACACUGGAACUGAGACACGGUCCAGACUCCUACGGGAGGCAGCAGUGGGGAAUAUUGGACAAUGGGGGCAACCCUGAUCCAGCCAUGCCGCGUGUGUGAAGAAGGCCUCGGUUGUAAGUAC
RNAcentral lists this ribosomal RNA (414 nucleotides) under uncultured bacterium. Its description in RNAcentral is "bacterial SSU rRNA". It matches the Rfam family "Bacterial small subunit ribosomal RNA", at positions 30 to 433 of the family's 1533-position model. The record is from RNAcentral.